Long non-coding RNA from Ictalurus punctatus (channel catfish), 4198 nucleotides. NCBI's taxonomy places the organism in Eukaryota, Metazoa, Chordata, Actinopteri, Siluriformes, Ictaluridae. The record is from Ensembl.
CAGAUUUUGGAGUGCAAAAAGAUUUUUUAAAUUCUCAUAUUCGUAAAAAGAGGCCUGCCGCUGAUUGACAAUGGCCAGGUCCACUGCUUCCACUAAAAACAUUAGGAAGAAAGGACUGAGAAAAAAAAAAAACACCAAAUGAGAUUUGUUGUCGAAUCCGGCGAGGGACAUCAAUGCUAAAUUAAUUUCUGCUCGUUGGAUUUGGAAGACAUUGUGUUCAGGCCUGUCCCGGGAGAAGAUACAAGCUUAUCAAGAAGGCAGGGAUCUUCCCAGUAGUAAGUACAGGAUCCAUGUUUUACUGACAUUCAAAUGAGGUAAGAUCUUCCAAACUAAUCCUGUGAAAAUCCAUGCUUUCUCCAUGCAUCCCAAAACACUUGGUUUAUCCCUCUCAUGAUCACAGUCAUGGCACAGCAGCAAACAAGCCCUUUUGAAUUUACUGCUUCUUUGUAGAGGACCAUGUCUGUGUCAUGAGGUUACAUAAACCACAUGGUUGGUGUGCCCAGAAACAUGAGCCAGACAUCAUUCUUUGGAGCCUGUCCCAUCGGAUGAGGGGAGGGGAUGGGUGCAAGUUAUGGACAUAUAACUUUGCCAUUUGUUGGGCCCAUCUGUGUGUCUGCUAUGUGACUUGCUGCAUGAAAUAUUCAAGGUCCAGUGAAAAGUGAUCUGAUGGUCGCUGUCAAGACUCCCCCCACCUUUUUUGGUUGUCUAUACCAGAUACUAACCAUUACCAAUGGCAAAAAAGACAAAAGAAAAAACAAACAAAACAAGCAGGUGACACCUUCUAUCAGUGCUCCAGUUUCCAUGCCCCAAUUUCGUACACCUUUCCUAGAUCAUUAGUUUAAAAAUGAAUUUAGUUCAGGAAUAUCAUAUAUCAAGCUCAUAUUUUCUGUUGAAUGAGAUAUUGAUAUAUGGUAUUUGGAUUAACAUUGCUAUCGGUAUUUCUUCCUCUUUCCAAAAAGAGUUAAUAUAGAAUGAUGUGUAUAUAACUUUGUGCCGUAAACACAUAGAUAAGUCUUGAGUUGCAUAAUGAAACACAAAUUUGAACACAUUAAAAUGCCCAUUGCCAAAACAAUCUUAACGAAGCCGAAUGUCACAUAACAGUAUAUACCAGUCUCGAAAUCAAAGUUUCGUUUGACUUCGUUCACCAGAAUUUCUGUAGUUUAGACAAUAUUUCCUUUUGUCCUCAUAACAUGUGUUUUCCUGAAGUGUUUGUGGUCCUCCUGCUUACACUCAGAGUAUGCAAGGCACAGCACUCCCACUGCAGGAAAAACAAUCUGAGGAAACUGGGAACAAUCAUAAGCAGGCUUCAGCAUGCUGCCAUAAAAAAUGCACAGGUCCUUGCAUCCAGUCCAUGCGGCCGAUGGUUUGACGGCGCUGCUGGUGCACCAUCCAGAGCAGCAGGAAACACCCUACAAAACAGAGGUGGAUACUGCUUUUGUUGUAGCUAAGACGUUUAAUAAAACAUCAUCAGUGGGUGGGCAAGAUUAGCCAUAAAACAAUGCGUACUGUACUAGGGUCAUUAUACUUUAGGUAGGUGUUUCUAUAGGGAUGGGCAUUUCCAAAGUGGAACACAAACCAAAAAUGCAACAGCAAAUCAGAAAACAAAACAGCAAAACUAAAAACACAACAGCAAAUUCAGAAACACAACCACAACUCAGAACAUAAAACACCAAAAAGACAACAGUAAAUUGAGAAACACAACAACAUUCAAUAAAUACAGAAUGGAUAGGUCCUUAUUCCUUACAUCAUAUGCUCGUAGCUGAUUGGACAGCAUUUGAUUAUAAUAAGGAACAAUGAUUGUCCUUUUUUGGUCUCUUAUCUAGCUAGUCUAGUGAAACAAAUUUAAUGCAAAUGUAAUUACAGUGAGAAGUAGUCCUUCUGUAUAAGAAAGGAGGCAUGGAGGCUGCUGUCUUAUCUGGCAACAAGAUGAUAGCAGCAGAUCCUUUCAGUUCUUUAAGUUGCAAGGUGGGUCCUCCAUGGAUCGGACUUGUUUGCCCAGGACAUCCCACAGAUGCUUGAACAGAUUUGAGAUCUGGGGAAUUUGGAAGCCAAGUCAACACCUUUGUCAUGUACUUUGUCAUGUUCCUCAAACUAUUCCUGAACAAUUUUUGCAGUGUGGCAAGGCGCAUUAUCCUGCUGAAAGAGGCCACUGCCAUUAGGAGUGUACUUGGUCUGCAACAAUGUUUAGGUACAUGAUACGCAUUAAAGUAACAUCUACAUGAAUGCCAAGACUCAAGGUUUCCGAGCAGAACAUUGCCCAGAGCAUCACACUUCCUCCACCGGCUUGCCUUCUUCCAAUAGUGCAUCCAGUACCAUCUCUUCCCCAGGUACCACGUAGACUCCUACUGGAUCAUCUCAUGAGAUGGACCGGUGUUCUGUCCAGGGUUAUUCCUGCCUCAUACUCAAUGUCCCAGGGAUUGGAAGCCCUAACCAGGAUAAAGCUGGCUGUCCAUAUGAUGUAAAAGAAAACUUGAUUCUUCCAUUGGACCAUGGUCCGGUUCUUAUGCUCACAUGCAAACUGUAGGCUUUUUCAGCAGUGGACAGGGGUCAGCAUGGGCACUCUGACCGGUCUGCAGCUACACAGCACUACAUGUAGCAAGCUGCAAUGCACUGUGUCUUCUGAUACCUUUCUAUCAUAGCCACUAUUCAAUUUUUCAGGAAUUUGUGUUACUGUAGCUCUUCUGUGGGAUCUGAACAGAUGGGCUAGCCUUCACUCCCCAUGCACACAAUGAGUCUUAUGGUAAAUUAGCCUUAAGGAAAGUUAGGAGAGACAGAGAGAGUAAAGUCAUUCCUCCCACCCAGAGAGCACAGCCAGUUUGGCUCCCGUGGCCUUUGAUGCUUGUGGCAUUGUCAGGAUUCAAACUUGCAAUCUCCUGAUGAUAGGGCGUUUCUGUUGUGUCACUUGGGAGCAAGUUGAUAGCAUAUCUUAAAUAACAUUAUGUGCAUGCUCUUGAUAAAAAUAAGCAUGAAUAAAAGCCUCAGUAUUCAUUCAGGCUCAUAUUUCAGAUUACGGUAAACAUUCUCCAGCUUUCAGUUUCCACGCUUGCUCAGACUGAUGUGCGCAGUAGCCAAUCAGAGACGAUCAUGUGAUGUUCAAUAAGGACUUACCCUUUCCCUUCUGAAUGACUGUUGAUAAGUUUCUGACUUGCUGUUGGUUUUGGGCUUCUCAUUGUGUUUCUGCUCACAGGUCACCAUAGAUAUGCAACUAGCUACAAAUUUGCCUUUGUGCUUUUACAUUUUUAUGCUGCUUUUGGCUUUGCUGUUGUGUUUUUGGCUUUGGUGUUGUGGCUUUUUUUAUUUGGUGUUGUGUUUUUUUUAUUUGCUGUUGUUUUAGUAUUGCUGUUGUGUUCUUGGCUUUGAUGGUGUAUUUUUGGUUUUGCCAUUGUGCUACUAAUUUGAUGUUGUGCUUUUAGUUUUGCCAUUAUGUAUUUGAUCUGACAUUGUGUUUUUAGAUUUGCUGUUGUGUUUUAGUUUUGCUGCUGUGUUUUUUAAUUAGAUUUUUAGUUUUUAGUUUUGUUGUGUUUCUGAUUUGAUGUUGUGUUUAGUUUUGUUGUGUUUCUGAAUUGAUGUUGUGUUUCGUUUUGUUGUGUUUUUGAUUUUGCUGUUGUGUUUUUUGAUUUGUUGUUGGGUUAGUUUUGCAUUUGUGUUUUAUUGGUGUUUUUUCAUUUUGUUUUCAUUUCUGACUCAGUGUUGUGUUUAUAGUUUGCUGUUUUGUUUUUGUUAUUUUGGUUACUGUUGUGAUUUAAUUUAGUUUUCUGAUUUGCUAUUGUGUUUUAGUUUUGCUGUUGUGUUUUCUGAUUUGAUUGUGUGUUUUUAAUUUGUGUUUUUUUUAAUUUACUUUUGUGUUUGUAGGUUUGCUGUCUUUUGUUUAGUUUUCUUGUCACUUUUUAAAUAUAUUUUUUUAAUUUAAUUGGACUUUUUUAUUUGAAUAAUAUUCCACCACAUUCACCAUUGGAAAAAGGUCACAUGGCACAAAGCAUUAGCAUUUAUUUUUUCUCCAUUUAUUCUCACCCAGAGAAAAGGGUGGAUGAACUACACCCAUUCCAUUUAGGUGCAAGAUUCUGUUCCUAUACACACUUUGGUCUGGGCUGCAGACAGCACUGCUCCUGCUGGAUGGAAUGUGUCAAUAUGUGGAUUAUAGAUUAAUUGCUUGGCCCUUCACUGGAGUGUGUCACAAAACAAACCUCACAGCCCUAAU